Molecule: long non-coding RNA, 9473 nt
Filed under: Homo sapiens (human)
Lineage: Eukaryota; Metazoa; Chordata; Mammalia; Primates; Hominidae
Description: HSALNT0242370
Source: RNAcentral
GGCGGCGUAGACCCUGGACCGCAUUGUCAUAGAUGGUGUUCACGCUGGUGCAGAGGGCAGCAGCAGCAGCUUCAGCACAGCCCAGGAACGAGUGUGCUUCCGGGGUGGUGGCUUGCGGGGACGGGAGCCAGACUUAGAUUCUGGAGGAAAAGUAACAGUAGACAAAGCAAGUUCAGUCAGAGGAGACCUGCUCUAUACUAAUCUCUGCUAGUCUCCUCCGUGCAGAUCUACCUACAUUCCUUCCUCAAGCAAAAACUCCCCAGGCCCUGAAGAGAAAAAAUGUCUCCACAGACCGAAACAGAAACAACUUUUCCCUUGGAUCUGAAGGGGGUAGAUUUGCAACUGGCACUCAUUCUGCGUGUCUCAUGUAGCUCACAGCCCUCAGGGUCCUAAGUUCUCCUUGGUAACAUGGUGAUCCACGCCUCUUGGGAUCGCAGAGGGAGAGGCUUAUCAGGAAGCAUCCAGCGCUGACAGAGUACUGUCCACUUGGGGAAACACGGUCAGGAUUUAUCAUUAUUGUCAUUAUUAUGAUAUAAUGUGUAUAUAAAAAGAAAGCCCAAAAGGUAAUACACCAUAUUGUAAGCAGUGAUGAUUGCUAGGAAUGGGGGAGUACAGGUGGUUGCCAUUUUCUGAUAUAUGUAUCUAGAUAGAUAGGUAUCUUUUCUCAAUUCUUUGCAAUGAACAUAUGUUACAUUUUUAAUUAGAAAAAAAUUGGUUUUGAGAUUUUUAGACAAAAUUUUUAAAAACUUGACUGAUCAUCCACAAUGCCAGGAACUGCAUGAUCCUGCUUCCUCAUUUAAUCCUUAUCACUACCCUGUAUGAUCUUCAUUUUCAACAAGGAAAUUAAAAACCAGUGAGAUCAGGAAGGUGGAGGCCUGUGGCCCUGUCCUGGUCAAGACAAGGGUGAGUAGGGGCAGGGCCACAGGCCUCCACUCUCUGUACAGAGCUCCUUCCCUCACCUGCCUCUCCCUCAGGAGUCCCUUUUCACCCAGAGGGUAUCUGAUCCUCUGCAGCAUGUGGAGCCACGUCACUAACGAAAUUCAACCAUAGUCAGGUAAAACACAAAAAUGUGUUUUCUAUACAAUGUGGCUCCCUGAAUGCAGGCCAAAUGACUCCUCUAGUGUUCAAGCAGUGAGGGGUCUCACUGUUGCCCAGGCUGGUCGUAAAUGAUCCUCCUGCUUCAGCCUCCCAAGUAGCUGGGACCACAGGUGUGUGCCACUACACUUGGCUAAUUUUUUAAUUUAUGUAGAGACAGAGUCUCUAUGUUGCUCAGGCUGGUCUCAAACUCCUGGGCUCAAGUGAUCUCUUCUCACCUUAGCCUCCCAAAGCACUGGGAUUAAAGGCCUGAGCCACAGAACUUUACUGUAAGGCACUUUUAAGAGUAAACUUGCCGGGCACAGUGGCUCACACCUGUAAUCCCAGCACUUGGGGAGGCCGAGGCAGGCGGAUUACCUGAGGUCGGGAGUUUGAGACCAGCCCGACCAACAUGCAGAAACCACAUCACUACUAAAAAUACAAAAUUAGCUGGGCGUGGUGGCACAUGCCUGUAAUCCCAGCUACUUUGGAGGUUGAGGCAAGAGAAUCUCUUGAACCCAGGAGACGGAGGUUGCAGUGAGCCGAGAUCACGCCAUUGCACUCCAGCCUGGGCAACAAGAGUGAAACUCUGUCUCAAAAAAAAAAAAAAAGGAAACUUGACCAUGUGUGUGAUUUUUGCAUAUCUCAAUGAUUUUAGACCCUCACCUCUAAAAAAAAGUGAGACUCUGUUCUGGGAAUGCUUCAAGAUACAUCUGACCCAAACACCUGCACAGAAGUAUGUGGGCACUGGAGAAACAAACAAGCUGGGCACUGCCUCCCUAGGAGAGUCCCCCAUUCCCCGUAACCAAACCUUCUCAUCCACUCCCAAGCUUUAGAGUGUACUUUAUCUAAGGUUUGCAGGCCUGCUCACCCCAGUUGUCUAUGCCUGGAAACAUGAGUGUCUCCACUGUACCCCUGCUGGAAUCUUACAACAGGCAGAAAACUUACUCGGGGCCUGAUUUGCUUCCUUCUUAGGUUUCUUCUCCUGCUCCCGCUUGGCUGCUUUGAGGGCAUCAUACUCCUUUCUCCGGCGCUCCUUCUCUUCCGCCUUCUCCCGCUUCCGCAGUUCCCGCUCCUGAGCUUCCUUAGCUCGCUGCUUAGCCUCACGCUUCUUCUCUGCCUCUACAACAAAACAUACCAAAAUUUGACUUCUCUCUCACAAACACUCCAGCAGUUUGCUUUCCCAAGUGAUUAAAAGUACAGAUUCUGCCACCUUUACCCUGGUGCCAUGGUUCACAUAAGAAAUAUUCAAAGGAAACAGCCAUCCUUCUGCUCCUGGAAGUAGCCCUCCCCAAAAGCAGCUGCUCUCAGGGUUUGCUGAAUGGUUUCUGAUUACGAGGUUCCUAUCCUCAAGCAGCAGAGAAAUUAGGGUAAAAUAACAAGGAGGACCUAAGAAAGGCAUGAGGGAUAAGUGGUGCUCCUCUAGAAUUAGGUACUAACUCAGAAGGCAUAGCAACUGAUUGCCUUCUAGAACUCAGCUAUGAAGAGAAAAAACCAUGGCAGUUUUCUAUGGGACUCCUAUCUUCCCAAGCUUCAGAAAUGAAUGUGGUAUGGGGGGACAAGUGAGAAGAGAAAAUGAGCACUCAAGUUUAGGGUUAGAAACAAUGACGCCAGGAGCAGUAGUUCAUGCCUAUAACCCUAGGACUUUGGGAGGUGAAGCUGGGAGUAUCACUUGAGGCCAGGAGUUCAAGACCAGCCUGGGCAACAUAGCAAGACUGUCUAUAAAAAAACGAAAAAAUUAGCUGGGUGUGCUGGCGCAUGCCUGUAGUCCCAGCUACCUGGGAGGCUGAAGUGGGAGGAUCUAUUGAGCUCAGGAAGUGGAGGUUGCAGUGAACCAUGAUCGUGCCACUGCACUCCAGCCUGGGUGACAGUGAGACCAUGCCUCAAAGAAAAUAAAAGAAAAAAAGUAACAAUGGCAAUGUGUUCUAAAAAAGUGAACCUACCUUCUUACUACUGCACUGACUAUUUUUUUUUUUUAAGGCUAGUCAAGUGAAGCAGUGGGAGUGGAGAAGGAAGAAAGAAAUCUCUAACUGGUUGUGAUGAAUUAGUUGUAAACACCACUGCACUAGGACCAGCCUGCACUUGACUAGUCUUAAAAAACAAAUACUUGAACUCAUGAAUCUGAGAACUGAACACAGGAACACAUUCAGAUUUACUCAAUGGUUCAAGCAUGUUUGCAAACUUCCAAAUUACAACCUCCAAAUUAUUGGGUUCUAAAAAUGCAUUUCCAAAUUAGUUAUUUGGAAGUCUGAAAUACAUUUUGCCAAAGCCAGAAUGCCACAAAUGAUGGUUAAAUGUCCUUUUAGGGCUUAAAAGGCUAUGUUAGCCAUAAUGUAGCUGAAUAGUACUACUGUAAAUACUGUAGCUUUCCACUGCUUCUCCAUGUAGAAACAAGCUCCAAGUUCCAGCUGGGCACCAGAAUGCCAAGAACACACUCCACCCAGCCUCUAGGGAACAUGGGCCACUGAGAGGUGAAGGCAACAGGGGUCAGAGUAAACACGGGUAUGUCUUGCCACAGUGGCCAUGCGUAAUAAGGGAUGGCUGUAACUUGGCACGGUGCUCUCAGGGACUGCCUGUAAUCAGUACUGUACACAUCCCUUCUUGAACCACAAGAGUCCUCCAGUGAGGGGCUCAGAAAUCAGCCAGCCAGUCAACAGAGCACCUACUAUGUGCCAGGGGUUAUUUUAAGGGCUUGAGAUGCAGCAAUGGAGAAAACAGGCCACAUUCCAGUGCCUAUAUCAUUUACUUUCUAGAGAAGACAAUAAACAGGUGAACGUAACAAUGACAGUGAUCUGUGCCCUAAAGAAACUAGCAGAGGGGCACCUGUAGUCCCAGCUACUCAGGAGGCUGAGGCAGGAGAAUGGCUUGAAGCCAGGAGGCGGAGGUUGCAGUGAGCCGAGAUCGUGCCACCGCACUCCAGCCUGGGCAACAGAGCGAGACUCUGUCUCAAAAAAUAAUUAAAAAAAAAACUAGCAGAGGGUAUGACAGAGUGACAGGUAGAAUGGCUACUCUAAUCCAGUGGUUCUAAAAGGGUUACAGUUAACCUAAGGCAACAUUUGAGCAGAGAUGUGGGAUUAUGAAGCCAGCACUUAAAGAGACUAAGGGAAAAGGAAACCCAGCAAAGCCCCUGAGUGAGACUGCAGUUGGUGUACUCAAGCUGAAGUUAAUGGCCCAGUUUCACUUGUGUGUGCAACAAGGCCGGUGGAGAGCAGGCAAGUAAGCUUGGGCCAAGGUGGGUUUUGCUGGCCUUGUCAAUGAGUUUGGAUUUCAUUCUAAGUUCAGUGGGAUGCCAUUAGAGGGUUUUAAGCAAGUAGCAGCAUAAUUAUUUAUGUUGUAAAAAGAUCUCCCAGACUGUUGUGAAGAGAAUGAGUUUAAGGAGAUGGCAGCAUCAUGGAGACAUGCUGGAAGGCAUUGUGAUGGUCCCAGAAUGGUGGCUGGUUAGAGAUGGCACCGGAGCUGGAGAAACAGUCCCACAUAGGACUUGCUGACAGAUUGGAUGUGGGAAUUACAGAAAAAAAGGAGUCAUUAACAUCUUUCCUAUUUUAGGCUUGAAUAACUAUAGGGAAAGUGAUUUCCUAUUACAGGGAACACUGGGAGGGACUGAAGGGCCAUCAGGAAUCUGUUUUAGCCACAUUUCAUAUGAAUGCCUAUUAACCCUCCAAGCAGAGAUGAAAUAUAAGCAGUUGACUGCCUCUAGAGCACAGCAGAGAAGCCAGGACUGAAGAGAGAUUCAUCAGAUAAAGACGAUACCAUCCACCACAAUACUGUCCCCCCACCGCCCACUAACUGUUCUUCAUGACUACUCUACUGGAUCCCAGCUCCUGAAGCAUGAGAAUCCACUGGCUGGGAUGAGGACCUGAAAGAUAACUACAAGAGGGACAGCCACCUACCACGUUCUACUUCCAGCCGCCGCUGCCUCUCCCGCUCCUGAUCUGCCUGCACGGCCUUCAUGUGCUGUAACACCUGCAAAGGAAAAGGAGGAAAGUAGUGCUCUUCAUAGUCAUGUUUGCUCAGGGAAGUCUCAAAAAACAGACUAUUUUCAGGCUUCCAGAUUAUCAUGGUAGCAAUGUAGAACUAAUAAGAGUUAGGCUGAAUGUGGUGGCUCACGCCUGUAACCCCAACACUCUGGGAAGCCGAGAUAGAAGGACUGCUUGAGCCCAGGAGUUCAAGACAAGCCUCGGCAACAUAAUGAGACCCUGUCUCUACAGAAAAAUGUAAAAAAUUGGCCAGGCACAGCGGCAGAUGCCUGUAGUCUCAGCUACUUAGGAGGCCAAGGAGAGAGGAUUACUUGAACCCAGAAGGUCAAGGCUGCAGUGAGCUGUGGUCACGCCAUGGCACUCCAGUCUGGGUGAAGACUGAGACCCUAUCUCAAAACAACAACCACCACCACCACCACCACCAAACUAAUAGAGUUAAUUGUAUCUUUGUAUCCUAAAAUUACUGUGCCAACCUUAGUUGGAGAAGAGUGCUAUGAGCCAAGGUCAUUAAAACUGUCAGAAAAAAGUGAAACACAAUGCCAACUCGAAUCUGUAAAAAGUUCUGCCAUUUACACUCACUGUCACAUGCAUGAUUCCAUAUGACCCUCAGCAACAACUUGGGAACAGCAUUUCCUCCAACACGCUUUCCUGACUGCCCCUCCUGUGGCUACCUUAAGUCCCCCUCCAUCUACUCCUGUGGAAUUCAACACAGGACAUUGUAGCUACUUGCUACCUAUCUGGCUUGGUCAUAAGAUGGCAGAUUCCUUAAUGGCAGGAACCGCUGUCUGGUCUGUAGGUAUCACACAGGGGCGUGGCUAGCACAGAGUUUAGCUAAUUGCAGGCAUUCAAUACAUACAUGAGGAAUGGCUAAUUCCCAUUUCAAAAGGAAGAAAACCAAGACUCAUAGGGUGAUUUGUCCACUGCUAAUGGCCAGAAAGCAGCACAGCUAAGACCUGAGCACAGUCCCCUGCAUUCCUAGGGCAGAGCUUGUCGCACACACUUUCACCACAUGCAGAGGAGAGCUCCGAGAGAAGCCUACACACAGCACACUUGUACUCGGCAAUCUGAGCUCCCCAGAUCCACAUAAACUCGCUCAUGGAUGACCUCUAACCACACAAUCACAAAGAUUCUCGCUAUGGUGGGUGGAGGAGGUAAAGACCUUUUCUGUUUGUAUUUUUUUAAAGGUGGUAUUCUUUGGCUGUAGGGGAUAGAGUGUAAGCUUGGAGCCCAACGCAAUCCUGACUACCCCUUAUUGUAUAACCUUGGCAAGUGACUUAACCUUUCUGAGCCGAUUUUCUGAUCGAGAAAACAGAGAUAAGAUAUACUUCUAUGGAGUGUUGUGAAGAAUAAAUAAUAUAACUUGUAUUGGCUGCCUUGUAUAAUCUCUGGCAUUAUAUGUGCUCAGUAAGUACUGCUGCUUAUUUUCUUUACCAUGUGAGUAAGAAAAAAGAAGAAAACCCAAACUAUUAGCAAAAGGGUCUUGUUUUACUACUGCACUUAACAAUUACAUUUGAAUAUGCAUGCGCACGAGACAGACAUGUAUAUUCAUAUGUAAUUCUUAUUUCUAGAAAACUCCAGACACGCAUACCUCCAGACAAGCACACACCCAUCAUAAGAAGUAUUCAGGAGCAGACCAGCAAAAGGAUCUCCUUUCAAAAGCCUGGUUUGGGCCAGGCGCGGUGGCUCACACCUGUAAUCCCACACUUUGGGAGGCCAAGGUGGGCAGAUCACUGGAGCUCAGGAGUUCAAGACCAGCCUGACCGAUAUGGUGAAACUCCCAUCUCUACUAAAAAAUACAAAAAUUAGCUGGGUGUGGUGGUGUGCGCCUGUAAUCCCAGCUACUCAGGAGGCUGAGGCAGGAGAAUCUCUUGAACCCGGGAGGUGGAGGUUGCAGUGAGCUGAGAUUGCGCCACUGCACUCCAGCCUGGACGAUAGAGCGUGACUCUGUCUCAAAAAAAAAAAAAAAAAAAGAAAAAGGAAAGAAAUCAGGUCUGGACCCAGAGUUAGGGCUCAGGGCACUCAGGCAGUAGAGAAGUUAUGGGUCCCGUUGCCAUGAUUGCAGGGAGAGUGUGGAAAGUAAGAGUCCAGGGUGUUGGCUGAGGAAAAGGAGUGAGGGGAGUGGAUCACCUGAGGUCAGGAGUUCAAGACAAGCCUGGCCAACAUGGUGAAACCCCAUCUCUACUAAAAAUGCAAAAAUUAGCCAGUCAUGGUGGCAUGCCCCUGUAAUCCCAGCUACUUGGGAAGCUGAGGUGGGAGAACUGCUUGAACCCGGGAGGCGCAGGUUGCAGUGAACUGAGAGUGCGCCACUGCCCUCCAGCUUGGGUGACAGAGCAAGACCCCAUGUCAAAAAAAAAAAAAUUAAUUAUCUGAAAACACAGGCAAUGCAGAAAUGGGACAGAUUGUCAUAGUCUGGAGUCUGUGAGCUCCUGGAGGGUAAAUUUUUGUCUAGCUACUCUAGUUCAUAGCAUACAGUAAGCACUUGAUGAAUACAUUGAACAAAUCAUUUUUAAAAAUUGCUUUAAUAUGUACCAAGCAGAUUAAGACUAACCCAUAUACCCACCAGGGUUUAGGUCUUACCUGGUCAGAGCUAGUAAGACCUAAACUAAUUCCUGCAGACAGACGACCUGAUUCUGACUGGCCCAGGCCAUUUCCCUACAAAGCCUAAAGGUGUGCUGCAGCUCUAGGACAGCUGUGCUAGGGACCAUGGCUUUAGUUACCACAUCCACUAUGCUGCCUGGAGCUUUGUCUGAAAGACAUAUGCAAAUACAAAAGGCCUUUGUACUCAAUCAAAAUUAUUUUUGUAUGUCAAAAACUGGAAUAUCAUCAAUUUCCUAUGGUUCCACAUAUUACCUACUGAAUGAAUGGAUGGAUGGAUGAAUGAAAGGUGUGUAUAUGCUGAGGGUUUCUUGUGUCAGAGAAAUGAAAGUAAUGCCGACUCCUCAGGGCUCUGAGGAUUGUGAGAUGGUGCAUGGAAAGCAUCCAGGACAAGGAAAGAGUAAUCAAUGGUAGCUACUGUCAGCUUGCAGAACAGACAUCACUCCUACAGCACCUAGUUUUCAAAAGAGGAUUUCACUGAUCACUUAUACUGUUCUCAUCUAAGGGAAAACUCUUGUCUUAGCUACUUGGUUAACUUUGUGCUUGAUUUGUUGUAAUAAGAGAUGAUACAGAUGACAAGAUUAUAUAAGAAGCCCUGAGCUAAUGAUAAGAAGUAUCUUACUCUCUUACUCUCUACUUGAGACAGCAGAGACUCAUCAUUCACCCAUGAAUUCUAGUAUUUAAAGUUAAGUCUUUUUUGUUCAACAUGCACCUUAAACAUAGCCAAGUUAGUCAUCUGGUGCUCAGCUGAAGCAGCAGCAAUCUGUUCCAAAGCUGGAGGGAAAAAGUGACUAUAGUUGGAGUUAUUAAGAGAUAGGUGUAAUGCUGUUCUUAAUAGGUAGGGUACGGCACCUUCCAGGCUACUGACCACAGACAAUAGUUGUCUUGCAUGCUGCUUUCAGUUCCUCACUCCUAUGUCAGAUGACUCAACUGUAAUCAAAUACCAGGUCUGCCCAGGACGUGCCUGCUUACAGCUGUAACACCUUUAUCAUCGCUUUUAUUAUCAACAUUCCUACGACUGUGCCUCAGAAAGGCCACAGCCCCUAACCCCCGGUACUAUUAAAACAACUGUCCACACAGUGUCAUGUUGCAUCACGCAAGGUCCCGGCUCCUUAAGAGAGGAAGUACUGCAGUAGAGAAGGCAGUCUUGUUCUGCGACUUGCGAACUAAGUGCAGGCCAGGCAUGGUGGCUCACGCCUAUAAUCCCAGCACUUUGGAAGGCCAAGGUGGGCGAAUCAUUUGAGGUCGGGAGUUGGAGACCAGCCUGGCCAACGUGGCGAAACACCAUCUCCACUAAAAAAUACAAAAAUUAGCUGAGCAUGGUAGCAGGCGUCUGUAAUCUCAGCUACUCGGGAGGCUGAGGCAGGAGAAUCGCUUGAACCUGGGAGGCGGAGGUUGGAGUGGGCCGAGAUUGUGCCACUUGCACUCCAACCUGGGCAACAGAGCAACUCUGUCUCAAAACAAAUAAAAAACAAAAAGAUAAAGUAAAUGCAGAAACAAAGGUCUCUGUUUGACAGGCUCAUAGUGGACAUAUUUCACUCGGACCUGAAUGCUUAACUCCACACAAAGCUCCAGGUGCCCUAGGAGGGAAAAACAGGAGGAGGAGAAAUCCCAGGGAGUGUAUAAGGAGCCACUGGGAGGGAGCUUGGUGCUUACCUUGUUUGCACACUGCUUACACUGCUUCUCAUCCAAGCAGUCACCUGCCACCUUGGCCAGGACAGGAUCCAGGGGGUUAUCCUUCAGGUCCAACCACUUCAGGUUCUAAAGAGAUGGGCGAUGGGCAAAGAGGCUCAUUAAGCCCGAGUUCACAUACAUAGUCCCUCAGGG